Molecule: unclassified non-coding RNA, 280 nt
Filed under: Hevea brasiliensis (rubber tree)
Lineage: Eukaryota; Viridiplantae; Streptophyta; Magnoliopsida; Malpighiales; Euphorbiaceae
Source: RNAcentral
GUUGAUGGGAGGCUAAUAUUCGUUGAAUUUGCAAAAACUACAAAACCAGCAGAGGACACUAUCAGUUGAAGAUAUCUCAUGCAGUUAUUUGUUUGCCAAUUGUAUUUGAGAUCAAAUGGCAGAAUGGUUUUUCCACAUUGUAGCAUAUGCUUGUUUGAGCUCGGACUUCAAUUAUCAUACACAUUUCUUUAUCGCUAUCUUAGUGUUGAAUUUUUAUUACCAAGUUUUGGAAGCAAUGAUACAAAAAUUUUAUAAAAAUUCAACACUAAGAUAGCGAUAA